GAUGAACGCUGGCGGCGUGCCUAAUACAUGCAAGUCGAGCGAACAGAUGAGGAGCUUGCUCCUCUGACGUUAGCGGCGGACGGGUGAGUAACACGUGGAUAACCUACCUAUAAGACUGGGAUAACUUCGGGAAACCGGAGCUAAUACCGGAUAAUAUAUUGAACCGCAUUGUUCAAUAGUGAAAGACGGUUUUGCUGUCACUUAUAGAUGGAUCCGCGCCGCAUUAGCUAGUUGGUAAGGUAACGGCUUACCAAGGCAACGAUGCGUAGCCGACCUGAGAGGGUGAUCGGCCACACUGGAACUGAGACACGGUCCAGACUCCUACGGGAGGCAGCAGUAGGGAAUCUUCCGCAAUGGGCGAAAGCCUGACGGAGCAACGCCGAGUGAGUGAUGAAGGUCUUCGGAUCGUAAAACUCUGUUAUUAGGGAAGAAAAAAUGUGUAAGUAACUAUGCACGUAUUGACGGUACCUAAUCAGAAAGCCACGGCUAACUACGUG
Molecule: ribosomal RNA, 497 nt
Filed under: uncultured bacterium
Lineage: Bacteria
Description: partial 16S ribosomal RNA
Rfam family: Bacterial small subunit ribosomal RNA
Source: RNAcentral